RNAcentral lists this long non-coding RNA (260 nucleotides) under Elaeis guineensis (African oil palm). RNAcentral describes it as "long non-coding RNA (EGUI_LNC049664)". Lineage: Eukaryota; Viridiplantae; Streptophyta; Magnoliopsida; Arecales; Arecaceae. The record is from RNAcentral.
AUUUCUUAUGCAUAAUCAUGUCAAGCUUUUCAAGCUCUUCAAUGUCUUUGAUCAUCGAUCAUGGACAAACUGCCCAUCAUGCAUCUCAUGCAUUGUGUGACUCUGAUCAUCUCACAACUAUUGUAGAUGAAUCAACAUAUCAUUGGCAGUCUAUAUGUCCUUAUACAUAUAUUGGAUCUCAUUGACUAUGUAAUCCAAUUUAUAGCACCUAACCUAAUUGUCAAUGUCCAACCAUUUGUCAAAUAUGGCUCAUUGACUAU